Molecule: ribosomal RNA, 506 nt
Filed under: uncultured bacterium
Lineage: Bacteria
Description: partial 16S ribosomal RNA
Rfam family: Bacterial small subunit ribosomal RNA
Source: RNAcentral
AUUGAGCGCUGGCGGCAGGCCUAACACAUGCAAGUCGAACGGUAACAGGAAGAAGCUUGCUUCUUUGCUGACGAGUGGCGGACGGGUGAGUAAUGUCUGGGAAACUGCCUGAUGGAGGGGGAUAACUACUGGAAACGGUAGCUAAUACCGCAUAACGUCGCAAGACCAAAGAGGGGGACCUUCGGGCCUCUUGCCAUCAGAUGUGCCCAGAUGGGAUUAGCUAGUAGGUGGGGUAACGGCUCACCUAGGCGACGAUCCCUAGCUGGUCUGAGAGGAUGACCAGCCACACUGGAACUGAGACACGGUCCAGACUCCUACGGGAGGCAGCAGUGGGGAAUAUUGCACAAUGGGCGCAAGCCUGAUGCAGCCAUGCCGCGUGUAUGAAGAAGGCCUUCGGGUUGUAAAGUACUUUCAGCGGGGAGGAAGGUGUUGUGGUUAAUAACCGCAGCAAUUGACGUUACCCGCAGAAGAAGCACCGGCUAACUCCGUGCCAGCCGCCGCCGUAA